Non-coding RNA from Oryza glaberrima (African rice), 205 nucleotides. The record is from Rfam. NCBI's taxonomy places the organism in Eukaryota, Viridiplantae, Streptophyta, Magnoliopsida, Poales, Poaceae.
AAUAAACAUAGCGGUGGGUUUCAGGGCCCAACUUUAACCAUCCGUCUUAUUUGAAAUAUUUUUAUAAUUAGUAUUUUUAUUGUUAUUAGAUGAUAAAUAUGAAUAUUACUUUAUGUGUGAUUUAAAUUUUAAAUUUUUGUUUAUAAAUUUUUCAAAUAAGAUAAACGGUCAAAUGUUGGGUAAAAAACUUAUGGCAACAUUUAUA